UGGGGAAUAUUGGACAAUGGGGGCAACCCUGAUCCAGCCAUGCCGCGUGUGUGAAGAAGGCCUUUUGGUUGUAAAGCACUUUAAGCAGUGAAGAAGACUCCAUGGUUAAUACCCAUGGACGAUGACAUUAGCUGCAGAAUAAGCACCGGCUAACUCUGUGCCAGCAGCCGCGGUAAUACAGAGGGUGCAAGCGUUAAUCGGAAUUACUGGGCGUAAAGCGAGCGUAGGUGGCUUGAUAAGUCAGAUGUGAAAGCCCCGGGCUUUACCUGGGAACGGCAUCUGAUACUGUUAGGCUAGAGUAGGUGAGAGGAAGGUAGAAUUCCAGGUGUAGCGGUGAAAUGCGUAGAGAUCUGGAGGAAUACCGAUGGCGAAGGCAGCCUUCUGGCAUCAUACUGACACUGAGGUUCGAAAGCGUGGGUAGCAAACA
Molecule: ribosomal RNA, 427 nt
Filed under: uncultured bacterium
Lineage: Bacteria
Description: partial 16S ribosomal RNA
Rfam family: Bacterial small subunit ribosomal RNA
Source: RNAcentral